This 73-nucleotide transfer RNA is filed under the name Candidatus Poribacteria bacterium. RNAcentral's name for it is "tRNA-Thr". It matches the Rfam family "tRNA". From Rfam's summary of the family: Transfer RNA (tRNA) molecules are approximately 80 nucleotides in length. Their secondary structure includes four short double-helical elements and three loops (D, anti-codon, and T loops). The record is from RNAcentral. Lineage: Bacteria; Candidatus Poribacteria. RNAcentral also lists the same sequence under 1 other name.
GCUGGAGUAGCUCAGUCGGUAGAGCACCUCACUCGUAAUGAGGGGGUCGUGGGUUCGAGUCCCAUCUCCAGCU